RNAcentral lists this long non-coding RNA (1146 nucleotides) under Pan troglodytes (chimpanzee). RNAcentral describes it as "long non-coding RNA NONPTRT001278". Lineage: Eukaryota; Metazoa; Chordata; Mammalia; Primates; Hominidae. The record is from RNAcentral.
CCUUUGAGAUCAAGAGUUUAUAACAAGAAAAGGGCUUAUAGAGUAUGUUAAAAGAAAUCUGAGGACCAUGGGAUAAUCCAGCAUCUAGAGGUGGGGAGAGGGGUCUCACGUUGAGGUAGCGGCCCAGGUUGCCUUCAAGCUUGGCAUCAAUGAUGUAGCAAGACUCCUCGCCAUCAUAGAAUUGGCGUGUGUUCUUACGAACAGGUGCGCUCUCCCCCUUGUCCACAGAGGCCAUGUUGGUUGAUUUAAUUGCAAUCCCAUGGGUUGAUUUAAGAGCAAAGCCUCGGGUUGAUUUUACUGCCACUUGACGCUUCAUUGGACCUGGACAGGAGGGAGAAUGGGGUCAGGACCCAUCCCAACUCAUGAACGGACAUUCUAUCAUGAAUGGACAUUCUACCCCUAUUUCUCUCCCAACAUUGCAGCUGAGAAACACCAAUAAGCUGGAACUCAAAGAUCCUAAGUAGCAGGUUUUUUUUUCAAGCAUAAUUAGAUCUGCUAGACAAAGGAGCUGAGGGGAAAGAGUAAAAAAAUGGAAAUGAGAGAGGAUGUGUCAAACAAUAGUUUAGCUUGGAGUCAGCCCUCCCAGAGAUGCUCCAAUUCUUAGGAUCUGAAUUUUUACCCGCUACUUCUUUAGCUUCCUUAAAAAAUGCUCUAUCCCAAGUUUCUUACUAUUUCUUCCCACCAUUCCCAAAAUUUUUCCAGGCUACCAGUCAUGUUCUUCUUGUCCUCAAAGUCAUCCCCUUCAGAGCCAGAGGAUAUGGUCUGGAUAUCAUCACUGUCAACCGCUGUAGCCGAAGUCUGACCAGCAGUGGGCUUUCGGCUGGUCCCACUUUCCCCCUCACUUUCUGUGCUGCUGGACAGUGUCAGGACAUCCUGGGGAAGCAGGAGGCAUAGCUCCGCCACACUGAACUGGUGCUGAAGUCCUCAUCCUUACAGAAGUUAUCAUCUGAGCUAUCAUCAUUGGACUCUUCAGGGUCCUCUGUACCGCUGUUGCCAUCUUCCUGGUCCUUCAAGUCUACACCACUGCUGUCAGAGGAACAGGGGGCAUCACUCUCAUAUCCUUCUUUGAAGUUCUCCACGCUCUCGAUAUGGUCCAGAUUUGCAAAGUACUCAUCACCCAUUUCCAGACCCUCCUUGUCUGCAAAG